Molecule: long non-coding RNA, 1991 nt
Filed under: Triticum aestivum (bread wheat)
Lineage: Eukaryota; Viridiplantae; Streptophyta; Magnoliopsida; Poales; Poaceae
Description: long non-coding RNA (TAES_LNC000046)
Source: RNAcentral
AGAAAAAAUAACCAACAAACUAUAUCGCUUGCCCAGCUAACAGAUCUCAUUAUAAACAUGUCCAAAGAAAAGAACAAGAAAACCAACAAACUAUGUCGCUUGCCAGGCUAACAGAUCUCGAUAUAACACAUGUAAAAAACCGAAUGAAGAGAAAGAACCAACGAACUAUGUUGCUUGCCUGGCUAAUACAUCUCACUAAACAUGUUCAAACGAAAGAGAAAAUAACCAACAAACUAUGUUGCUUGCCCAGCUACCAGAUCUCAUUAUAAAAGUAUCUUCGAUCGCCAAGGUCCAGCUCUUCUCCAUCAACUCGUCGCCUUGAUCUAUGAUCGACAAUUGCAUCCUUGAUCUCUCUAUGCCCUUGUCCCUGAAAACAUCUUCUUAGAUUCUUUAUGCUUCUUCCUGGACGUCAUCCCCACCUUGAUUGGUCAUAACUGAAGACCUGCCCACUAUCGUAGGGAGAAAACAAUUAACACAUGAGAUAGUUUAUCUCUGAUCUCCUGCUUAUAUAAAACAUAAGAUGUUGUUGUUUGCUUGUCCUUCGUCCAUCUUCUUUAUUGUGUUUCUACUCACUCUUUCCCUUUUGAUUUCCACCCUUCAAUCUCUUCCUUUUUCCUAUCAUUUUUCUUAACAAAAAACCUCAACGGUGCCACCUCUUAACAUGUCAAAAUGAAGGAGGAAAAAAACCAAUGAUAUCGCUUGUCCGGCUAACAGAUCUCAUUAUAAACAUGUCCAAAGAAAAGAACAAGAAAACCAACAAACUAUGUUGCUUGUCAGGCUAACAGAUUUCGAUAUAAACAUGUAAAAAAAUGAAUGAAGAAAAAGAACCAACGAACUAUGUUGCUUGCAUGGCUAAUAGAUCUCAUUAAACAUGUUGAAACGAAAGAACAAAUAGCCAACAAACUAUGUUUCUUGACCAGCUACCAGAUCUCAUUAUAAAAGUAUCUUCGAUCGCCAAGGUCCAGCUCUUCUCCAUCAACUCGUAGCCUUGGUCUAUGAUCGACAAUUGCAUCCUUGCUCCCUCUGUGCCCUUGUCCCUGAAAACAUCUUCUUGGAUUCUUUAAGCUUCUCCCUGUACGUCAUCCCCACCUUGAUUGGUCAUAACUGAAGACCUGCCCAAUAUCGUAGGGAGAAAACAAUUAACACAUGAGAUAGUUUCUCUCCGAUCUCCUGCUUAUAUAAAACAUAAGAUGUUGUUGUUUGCUUGUCCUUCAUCCAUCUUCUUUAUUGUGUUUCUGCUCACUCUUUCCCUUUUGAUUUCCACCCUUCAAUCUCUGCCUUUUUUCCAUCAUUUUUUCUUAAAAAACGCCUCAACGGUGCCACCUCUUAACAUGUCAAAAUGAAGGAGGAAAUAAACCAACGAACUAUAUCGCUUGCCCGGCUAACAGAUCUCAUUAUAAACAUGUCCAAAGAAAAGAACAAGAAAACCAACAAACUAUGUCGCUUGCCAGGCUAACAGAUUUCGAUAUAAACAUGUAAAAACCGAAUUAAUAAAAAGAACCAACGAACUAUGUUGCUUGCGUGGCUAAUAGAUCUCCUUAAACAUCUUCAAAUGAAAUAACAAAUAACCAACAAACUAUGUUGCUUGACCAGCUACCAUCUCAUUAUAAAAGUAUCUUUGAUCGCCAAGGUCCAGCUCUUCUCCAUCAACUCGCCGCCUUGGUCUAUGAUCGACAAUUGCAUCCUUGAUCUCUCCAUGCCCUUGUCCCUGAAAAUAACUUCUUGGAUUCUUUAAGCUUCUCCCUGGACGUCAUCCCCACCUUGAUUGGUCAUAACUGAAGACCUGCCCAAUAUCGUAGGGAGAAAACAAUUAACACAUGAGAUAGUUUCUCUCCGAUCUCCUGCUUAUAUAAAACAUAAGAUGUCGGUGUUUGCUUGUCCUUCGUCCAUCUUCUUUAUUGUGUUUCUGCUCACUCUUUCCCUUUUGAUUUCCACCCUUCAAUCUCUGCCUUUUUUCCAUCAUUUUUUCUUAAAAAACGCCUCAACGGUGC